RNAcentral lists this unclassified non-coding RNA (200 nucleotides) under Capnodiales sp. Its description in RNAcentral is "partial internal transcribed spacer 2". The record is from RNAcentral. Lineage: Eukaryota; Fungi; Ascomycota; Dothideomycetes; Capnodiales.
UUAAGUUCAGCGGGUAUUCCUACCCGAUCCGAGGUCAAAACUUGUGUUCGGUCGGUGACCGAUGCGAACGCGCAAGGCAGGGACGUGCGGGCUUCGCGCCCGUAAGCGGUUACGGCACCUGCUACAGCACUCCCAUUUACCAAUUGAUGGCCGACGCAUUUGGGGUCCGGGAUGGUCCCGGGGCCCAAUACCAAGCCAGG